Molecule: unclassified non-coding RNA, 1105 nt
Filed under: Hevea brasiliensis (rubber tree)
Lineage: Eukaryota; Viridiplantae; Streptophyta; Magnoliopsida; Malpighiales; Euphorbiaceae
Source: RNAcentral
UGCUGAACUAGUGGCACAAAGAAAUUUGGCAUAGGAGCACCUCCUGGCCUCAUUCCAGGAACAAGUUGUUGCUGAUAUCCAAAACCAGCCUGGGGAGGAAUUAUGCCUGGAGGUGCUUGCCCAUAUAAAAAUUGCUGACCUAAGCCUGGAGCACCUGGAGAAUAUAUUGGCAUACGGGGAGCAACUGAAGGUGUCAUGGCAACUGGCCUCAUCUGUGAAAACUGAGCCUGAAGUCUCGCCCUUCUCUCUUCCUUCCGUUGCGCAAGUGCAACAUACAGUGGCUUGCUAACCACCAUUUUGCCAUUCAUCUCAGAAAGAGCUCGAGAUGCUUCCUCAGGAGUUGAAAAGGCAACAAAACCAGAACCUCUGCUAAUUCCACUGGGAUCACGCAUAACCUUGCAUGAAGUAAUUGUUCCAAAGUCAGAAAACAGUUCCUUCAGCUUCUCAUCAUUGAUGCUAUCAUCCACAUUCUUGAUAUACAAAUUCACCCCUUGGAAUUUGUCUACAGCUUCCUUCAUGCUUUGCUCAAACCGACUCUUCAGUUCAAACUCUCUUUCAGAUUUUUUCUGUGCUUUUCCAACAUACCACUCCUUAUCAUCAAACUUAUUUCCAUUAAGAGACUCAACAGCUUUAGCAGCAUCAUCAGCAUUUUCAAAGUUGACAAAUCCAAAACACUUUGAUUUCCCAUCUGCAUCUCUCAUAACUACAGCACUAGUAAUUGCGCCAUAUUCGCCAAAAAUAUUCUUCAAAUCCUCAUCCGUUGUUGAUUCAGAUAAAUUUUUCACGAAGACAUUAUUAAAUUUUGUCUUAUUCAAUGCACCAUCUCUAUCCUGCUUACGAAGGAAGUGUCCAACAAAAACUUGUUUAUCAUUAAGUAGCAUGCCAUUCAAUUUAUCUAUAGCAUUUUGAGCAGAUUCUUCAUUGUCAAAUUGUACAAAACCAUAGCCUCUGGACUGGCCAGAAGCAUCAGUAGCCACCUUGCAAGAAAGAAUGUUGCCAAAUGACGAAAACGUAUCAUGUAAGGCUUUGUGAUCAAUAGACUUAUCGAGGUUCUUGAUAAAAAUAUUUCCUGUCCCACUCUUACGAAGACUUGGGUCCCGAUGAG